GACGAACGCUGGCGGCGUGCCUAAUACAUGCAAGUAGAACGCACAGUUUAUACCGUAGCUUGCUACACCAUAAACUGUGAGUUGCGAACGGGUGAGUAACGCGUAGGUAACCUGCCUGGUAGCGGGGGAUAACUAUUGGAAACGAUAGCUAAUACCGCAUAAUAUUAAUUAUUGCAUGAUAAUUGAUUGAAAGAUGCAACUGCAUCACUACCAGAUGGACCUGCGUUGUAUUAGCUAGUAGGUGAGGUAACGGCUCACCUAGGCGACGAUACAUAGCCGACCUGAGAGGGUGAUCGGCCACACUGGGACUGAGACACGGCCCAGACUCCUACGGGAGGCAGCAGUAGGGAAUCUUCGGCAAUAGACGAAAGUCUGACCGAGCAACGCCGCGUGAGUGAAGAAGGUUUUCGGAUCGUAAAGCUCGGUUGUAAGAGAAGAACGGGUGUGAGAGUGGAAAGUUCACACUGUGACGGUAUCUUACCAGAAAGGGACGGCUAACUACGUG
RNAcentral lists this ribosomal RNA (505 nucleotides) under uncultured bacterium. RNAcentral's name for it is "partial 16S ribosomal RNA". It matches the Rfam family "Bacterial small subunit ribosomal RNA", at positions 28 to 507 of the family's 1533-position model. The record is from RNAcentral.